RNAcentral lists this long non-coding RNA (968 nucleotides) under Homo sapiens (human). RNAcentral describes it as "HSALNT0094845". The record is from RNAcentral. Lineage: Eukaryota; Metazoa; Chordata; Mammalia; Primates; Hominidae.
GAAUUGUCAACCAGAUAAUGGCACUACAGCCUGUGUGUUCUUAGUGACUCUGAGGAUAGCACUGUGGUUCUGUGACAGAUAAUGAAGGAUUUGGAAGCAGGAAUGCCCAGGAGCUCCCAGAAGUGGGAAGAGAUGAGAGGAAUGGAAGGAACUUACCUGAAGGUGAAGGCAUCAGGCUAGGGGACCAAGGGAGAAGGUGUCCUGAGAGGACCCUAACAAUUCUCUCUUCCAAAGACAUUCCAAGAAGAUGAGGAAGAAUAUAGAGGAGUGUUUUAGAAUCGUCUGAGUUCCUAGCUUGAAUACCUUAAUAACAGCUUUAAGAAAUGUUUUUCUUCAUAAAAGCCUUGAGUUGAAGAAAAACAUGCGCUGAAAUAAUUUCCUAAGCCCCACCCUGUGCAUGACUGGCGUAAGGAAUCGCUCAUUGUAAAGCUAUUGGUUAUUCUAACUCCUUCCGCAAAUUAAUUUACCUCAGGAAGCCAUGUUCCUCCAUAAAUGGCGGGAAACAAUGGGGUCUUUUAUAUUCCCAGUAGUAUGGUGCUCAUUAGUUAAAUGCUGACUUUGUUGGGCUCUGGAAUAGAACAAAAUAUCCUAAAGCAAGGUCAUGACUGUAGCAACUUGGGAAGAAAGGGGACCAUGACACCUGUGUCUGAGCCCUGGUAGGGAAGGAGCCAGGCUGACUGGUCUAGGGCAGGAGGGAUGCUGCCCAGGUAUUCUCCUCCUCUUCUCUAUGGUGAGGCCCCAAAAAGCCUGGGCCCAGAGGGAGCACUGAUGGAGGGAGGGAGAGUGGCACCUGUACCUCCUGAGCCAGAAGUGCCAGAGGAUCUUCCAGACUGGUGGUCUUCACACUGUUUUUUUUUUCCCCAGGCUGUUUUGAUCACAACUACCUCUAUUGCUAAAAAUGUCUGAGCAUAUACUUCUAAUGUAUAGUGUAAUGAUAUAUUGAAUAUCUUAUAAACCAAAUACUGUCA